RNAcentral lists this ribosomal RNA (292 nucleotides) under uncultured bacterium. RNAcentral's name for it is "partial 16S ribosomal RNA". It matches the Rfam family "Bacterial small subunit ribosomal RNA", at positions 505 to 796 of the family's 1533-position model. The record is from RNAcentral.
GUGUCAGCAGCCGCGGUAAAACGUAGGUGGCAAGCGUUAUCCGGAUUUACUGGGCGUAAAGGGUGUGCAGGCGGACUGCCAAGUGGUGUAUGAAAUCGCUCGGCUCAACCGGGCGCGGUUAUGCCAGACUGGCAGACUAGAGACUGACAGAGGGUGGUGGAAUUCCGGGUGUAGUGGUGAAAUGCGUAGAGAUCCGGAGGAACCCCAGAGGCGAAGGCGGCCACCUGGGUCAGUUCUGACGCUCAGACACGACAGCAUGGGGAGCGAACGGGAUUAGAUACCCGUGUAGUCC